GCUGGGCAUGGUGGUGCGUGCCUGUAAUCCCAGCUAUUUGGGAGGCUGAGGCAGGAGAAUCGCUUGAACCUGGGAGGCAGAGGUUGCAGUGAGCCGAGAUCGUGCCACUGCACUCCAGCCUAGGCAACAGAGCGAGACUCCGUCUCAA
RNAcentral lists this non-coding RNA (148 nucleotides) under Nomascus leucogenys (northern white-cheeked gibbon). Lineage: Eukaryota; Metazoa; Chordata; Mammalia; Primates; Hylobatidae. The record is from Rfam by way of RNAcentral.